Molecule: ribosomal RNA, 292 nt
Filed under: uncultured bacterium
Lineage: Bacteria
Description: partial 16S ribosomal RNA
Rfam family: Bacterial small subunit ribosomal RNA
Source: RNAcentral
GUGCCAGCAGCCGCGGUAAGACAGAGGGUGCAAACGUUGUUCGGAAUUACUGGGCGUAAAGCGCGUGUAGGCGGUCGUGCAAGUCGGGUGUGAAAGCCCUCGGCUCAACCGGGGAAGUGCACUCGAAACUGCAUGACUAGAGUCUCGGAGAGGAUAGUGGAAUUCUCGGUGUAGAGGUGAAAUUCGUAGAUAUCGAGAGGAACACCGGUGGCGAAGGCGGCUAUCUGGACGAUGACUGACGCUGAGACGCGAAAGCGUGGGGAGCAAACAGGAUUAGAUACCCCGGUAGUCC